Molecule: ribosomal RNA, 440 nt
Filed under: uncultured bacterium
Lineage: Bacteria
Description: partial 16S ribosomal RNA
Rfam family: Bacterial small subunit ribosomal RNA
Source: RNAcentral
CCUACGGGAGGCAGCAGUAGGGAAUAUUGCUCAAUGGGGGAAACCCUGAAGCAGCAACGCCGCGUGGAGGAUGACGGUUUUCGGAUUGUAAACCUCUUUUUUUAGAGAAGAUAAUGACGGUAUCUAACGAAUAAGCACCGGCUAACUCCGUGCCAGCAGCCGCGGUAAUACGGAGGGUGCAAGCGUUACUCGGAAUAACUGGGCGUAAAGGGCGCGUAGGCGGGCUAGCAAGUCAGAUGUGAAAUCCUAUGGCUUAACCAUAGAACUGCAUUUGAAACUGGUAUUCUAGAGUAUGGACGAGGUAGGUGGAAUUCUUGGUGUAGGGGUAAAAUCCGUAGAGAUCAAGAGGAAUACUGAUUGCGAAGGCGACCUGCUAGAACAUAACUGACGCUGAUGCGCGAAAGCGUGGGGAGCAAACAGGAUUAGAUACCCUAGUAGUC